CGUCUUGGGAUCCUGCAGGGGGAGGGGGCUGUGAAUGUGCAGGUUGUGUGUAGACGUGGUGGUGUGGAUAGCUGUGUGGGUGUGUGUGCAAGUGUAGCCAUUGUGUGGGUAGCCGUGUGGGUAUAUGCAUAGGGUAUGAGUGCUGGGUGUAGACGUGGCAUGGGUGUGUGUGCAGGUCUGUUGGGUGUAGACAUGGUAGUGCGGGUAGCUGUGUGGGUGUAUGUGCAAGUGUAGACAUGGCGUGGGGGAGUGUAGGUGUUGGGCCUCUGGUAGUGUGGGUGUGUGCAGGUGUGGGGUGGUGUGGGUGCAGACGUCUGGGGGGUUGUGUGCGGGUGUUGGGUAUCCAUGUGUGGGGCUGUGUAGACGUCUAUGCAGGUGUGAGUGCAGGUGUAGACGGCGUAUGUGCAGGUGUUGUGUGUCUGGUGUGGGUAGUUGGGGUGCAUGCAGGUAUGUGUGUUGUGUCUAGACGUGUGGGUAGCUGUGGGGGUGUGCAGGUGUGUAUACUGGGUAUAGACGUGGCAUGGGUUGCUGGGUGUGUGUAGGUGUUGGGUAUUUGCAGGUGAGUGUUGGGCGUGGUGUGUGCAGGUGAGUGUUGGGCACGGGCAUGGUGGUGUGUGCAGGUGAGUGUUGGGUGCGGGCGUGGUGGUGUUUGCAGGUGAGUUGGGUGUAGGCGUGUGUGCAGGUGAGUGUUGGGCACGGGCGCAGUGGUGUGUGCAGGUGAGUGUUGGGCGGGGGCGUGGUGUGUGCAGGUGAGUGUUGGGCGCGGGCGUGGUGGUUGCAGGUGAGUGUUGGGCACGGGCAUGGUGGUUGCAGGUAAGUGUUGGGUGUGGGCGUGGUGGUGUGUGCAGGUGAGUGUUGGGCGCGGUGGUGUGUGCAGGUGAGUGUUGGGCGCAGGCGUGGUAGUUGCGGGUGAGUGUUGGGUGUAGGCAUGGCGGUGUCUGCAGGUAAGUGUUGUGCGCAGGCGUGGUGUGUGCAGGUGAGUGUUGGGUGCGGGCAUGGUGGUGUGUGCAGGUGAGUGUUGGGCGCGGGCAUGGUGGUAUUUGCAGGUGAGUGUUGGGUGCGGGCGUGGUGGUGUUUGCAGGUGAGUUGGGUGUAGGCGUGUGUGCAGGUGAGUGUUGGGCGCGGGCGCAGUGGUGUGUGCAGGUGAGUGUUGGGCGCGGGCGUGGUGGUUGCAGGUGAGUGUUGGGCACGGGCAUGGUGGUUGCAGGUAAGUGUUGGGUGUGGGCGUGGUGGUGUGUGCAGGUGAGUGUUGGGCGCGGUGGUGUGUGCAGGUGAGUGUUGGGCGCAGGCGUGGUAGUUGCGGGUGAGUGUUGGGUGUAGGCAUGGCGGUGUCUGCAGGUAAGUGUUGUGCGCAGGCGUGGUGUGUGCUGGUGAGUGUUGGGUGCGGGCAUGGUGGUGUGUGCAGGUGAGUGUUGGGUGCGGGCGUGGUGGUGUGUGCAGGUGAGUGUUGGGUGCGGGCGUGGUGGUGUGUGCAGGUGAGUGUUGGGUGUUGGCGUGGUGGUGUGUGCAGGUGAGUGUUGGGUGCGGGCAUGGUGGUUGCAGGUGAGUGUUGGGUGUAGGGGUGGUGUGUGCAGGUGAGUGUUGGGCGCGGGCGUGGUGUGUGCGGGUGAGUGUUGGCGUGGUGUUUGCAGGUGAGCGUUGGGCGUGGUGUGUGCAGGUGAGUGUUGGGUGCAGGCAUGGUGUUUGCAGGUGAGUGUUGGGUGUGGGCGUGGUGGUGUGUGCAGGGGAGUGUUGGGUGUGGGCAUGGUGGUGUGUGCAGGUGAGUGUGGUCCUGUCCUGCUCACCCAGCACAUCCCUGUGUGUCUCUGUCCCAGUGGGAAGCUGACGGUGUUCACUGUGCUGUGUGAGCAGUACCAGCCAUCCCUCCGGCGGGACCCCAUGUACAACGAGUACCUCGACCGCAUAGGACAGCUGUUCUUCGGCGUCCCGCCCAAGCAGACGUCUUCCUACGGG
This 1953-nucleotide long non-coding RNA is filed under the name Pan troglodytes (chimpanzee). Its description in RNAcentral is "long non-coding RNA NONPTRT015990". Lineage: Eukaryota; Metazoa; Chordata; Mammalia; Primates; Hominidae. The record is from RNAcentral.